Molecule: ribosomal RNA, 467 nt
Filed under: uncultured bacterium
Lineage: Bacteria
Description: partial 16S ribosomal RNA
Rfam family: Bacterial small subunit ribosomal RNA
Source: RNAcentral
GACGAACGCUGGCGGCGUGCUUAACACAUGCAAGUCGAACGGAAAGGCCCUGCUUUUGUGGGGUGCUCGAGUGGCGAACGGGUGAGUAACACGUGAGUAACCUGCCCUUGACUUUGGGAUAACUUCAGGAAACUGGGGCUAAUACCGGAUAGGAGCUCCUGCUGCAUGGUGGGGGUUGGAAAGUUUCGGCGGUUGGGGAUGGACUCGCGGCUUAUCAGCUUGUUGGUGGGGUAGUGGCUUACCAAGGCUUUGACGGGUAGCCGGCCUGAGAGGGUGACCGGCCACAUUGGGACUGAGAUACGGCCCAGACUCCUACGGGAGGCAGCAGUGGGGAAUAUUGCACAAUGGGCGGAAGCCUGAUGCAGCAACGCCGCGUGUGGGAUGACGGCCUUCGGGUUGUAAACCGCUUUCGCCUGUGACGAAGCGUGAGUGACGGUAAUGGGUAAAGAAGCACCGGCUAACUACGU